AUUGAACGCUGGCGGAAUGCUUUACACAUGCAAGUCGAACGGCAGCGCGGACUUCGGUCUGGUGGCGAGUGGCGAACGGGUGAGUAAUGUAUCGGAACGUGCCCAGUCGUGGGGGAUAACGUAGUGAAAAUUACGCUAAUACCGCAUACGAUCUAUGGAUGAAAGCGGGGGAUCGCAAGACCUCGCGCGAUUGGAGCGGCCGAUAUCAGAUUAGGUAGUUGGUGGGGUAAAGGCCCACCAAGCCAACGAUCUGUAGCUGGUCUGAGAGGACGAACCGCCACACUGGAACGGAGACACGGUCCAGACUCCUACGGGAGGCAGCAGUGGGGAAUUUUGGACAAUGGGCGAAAGCCUGAUCCAGCCAUUCCGCGUGCAGGAUGAAGGCCCUCGGGUUGUAAACUGCUUUUGUACAGAACGAAAAGGUUUCUACUAAUACUAGGAGCUCACGACGGUACUGUAAGAAUAAGCACCGGCUAACUACGUGCCAGCCGCCGCGGUAA
This 500-nucleotide ribosomal RNA is filed under the name uncultured bacterium. RNAcentral's name for it is "partial 16S ribosomal RNA". It matches the Rfam family "Bacterial small subunit ribosomal RNA", at positions 30 to 523 of the family's 1533-position model. The record is from RNAcentral.